Molecule: ribosomal RNA, 492 nt
Filed under: uncultured bacterium
Lineage: Bacteria
Description: partial 16S ribosomal RNA
Rfam family: Bacterial small subunit ribosomal RNA
Source: RNAcentral
AGUGAACGCUGGCGGUAGGCCUAACACAUGCAAGUCGAACGGCAGCACAGUAAGAGCUUGCUCUUACGGGUGGCGAGUGGCGGACGGGUGAGGAAUACAUCGGAAUCUACUUUUUCGUGGGGGAUAACGUAGGGAAACUUACGCUAAUACCGCAUACGCCCUACGGGUGAAAGAAGGGGAUCUUCGGACCUUGCGCGAUUGAAUGAGCCGAUGUCGGAUUAGCUAGUUGGCGGGGUAAAGGCCCACCAAGGCGACGAUCCGUAGCUGGUCUGAGAGGAUGAUCAGCCACACUGGAACUGAGACACGGUCCAGACUCCUACGGGAGGCAGCAGUGGGGAAUAUUGGACAAUGGGCGCAAGCCUGAUCCAGCCAUACCGCGUGGGUGAAGAAGGCCUUCGGGUUGUAAAGCCCUUUUGUUGGGAAAGAAAAGCAGCAGGUUAAUACCCCGCUGUUCUGACGGUACCCAAAGAAUAAGCACCGGCUAACUUCGUG